Molecule: ribosomal RNA, 117 nt
Filed under: Pteropus alecto (black flying fox)
Lineage: Eukaryota; Metazoa; Chordata; Mammalia; Chiroptera; Pteropodidae
Source: RNAcentral
GUCUAUGGCCAUGCCACCUGAACAAGCCCGAUCCCAUCUGAUCUCGGAAGCUAAGCAGGGUCGGGCCUAGUUAGUAUUGGAUGGGAAACCAUCUAGGAAGACCAGGUGCUGUAGGCA